RNAcentral lists this ribosomal RNA (491 nucleotides) under uncultured bacterium. RNAcentral's name for it is "partial 16S ribosomal RNA". It matches the Rfam family "Bacterial small subunit ribosomal RNA", at positions 28 to 507 of the family's 1533-position model. The record is from RNAcentral.
GAUGAACGCUGGCUACAGGCUUAACACAUGCCAGUCGAGGGGAAACGACGGGGAAGCUUGCUUCCCCGGGCGUCGACCGGCGCACGGGUGAGUAACGCGUAUCCAACCUGCCUCUGACUGAGGGAUAACCCGUCGAAAGUCGGCCUAAUACCUCAUGGCAUCGUCUGCGGGCAUCCAACGACGAUUAAAGAUUUCAUCGGUCAGGGAUGGGGAUGCGUCUGAUUAGCUUGUUGGCGGGGUAACGGCCCACCAAGGCUACGAUCAGUAGGGGUUCUGAGAGGAAGGUCCCCCACAUUGGAACUGAGACACGGUCCAAACUCCUACGGGAGGCAGCAGUGAGGAAUAUUGGUCAAUGGGCGGGAGCCUGAACCAGCCAAGUAGCGUGCAGGAUGACGGCCCUAUGGGUGGUAAACUGCUUUUAGGCGGGGAUAAAGUGAGGGACGUGUCCUUCAUUGCAGGUACCGCAUGAAUAAGGACCGGCUAAUUCCGUG